CAGAGCAUCGUGCCCUUCGGGGUAGAUCUCCCACCCUGUGUCUUAUGCUACCCUUUGUUGCUUUGGCGGGCCGCCUUGUGGCCACCGGCUCCGGCUGGUGCGCGCCCGCCAGAGGACCCCAAACUCUGAAUGUUAGUGUCGUCUGAGUACUACAUAAUAGUUA
This 163-nucleotide unclassified non-coding RNA is filed under the name uncultured fungus. Its description in RNAcentral is "sequence contains ITS1, 5.8S rRNA gene". The record is from RNAcentral. Lineage: Eukaryota; Fungi.